Mauremys mutica (yellowpond turtle) is the source of this 803-nucleotide long non-coding RNA. RefSeq lists it as uncharacterized. The transcript is spliced from 3 exons. Lineage: Eukaryota; Metazoa; Chordata; Testudines; Geoemydidae. The record is from RefSeq and is a predicted model, not a curated record.
CCUGGAAGGAGGAGAUAAAAGAAGAAAAGUAUAGCUCAGUGGUGGUUGACUGAGAAAGGGAGGAGAAUUCUUGAGCUAGUCCUGUGAAGGAAGGCCUGGCUAGGGCCAGAUUCUAAUCGGAGACUGUCUUGCAGCUUCCUGAAACAAAGGAUCAGCUGGGGUUAGGACCCAACCAGAGACAUAUGAGAGUCAGAUCCUCCUUAGGACAGGGUCCCUGGGCUGGAACCUGAUUAGAUGAGCCUGCAUUCCCCUUCUGGCCUACGAAGGUGAGGGAGUGAAGACCCUGGAGACAAGGACUGGCAGGCCCCAAAAGCCUGAAAUUGGACUGAUAUGAAUGAUAUGAAGCUGCCAGACAAUUGGCAUGCUGACUUGGGCUUCCCUGGAAAGGGCAGGACUAAAAGUGAGUUGGCUUGAGGGCCAAGUCACAGGAAGAGGCAGACCACUGCAGGGCUAGAGCAGCUGUCAUCAUGGGGCAGUAAAGAAGGAGGCCCCUACACCCUGCCCAGCCACAAUGGGGUGCAGUUGUGAUGUGAAAUAAUGGAGUGAAGCUGCCAACCAGACUACUUGAACACCUUUCAAAAUAAUAUAGAGAAGAUACUGUGUUGCCCUCUCUCCAAGAGGUCAUGAUGAACAUUGUCCCUGAUAUAGACUUUUUGUUCCACUUCCUCUGUUUACCAACAUACUAACUUUUGCCACUAAGCACUAUAGUUUGCAUAAACAUUAAACUUAACACUCUUUCCAAAUAAGUAUAGACUGUUUUUGGAGGUCUUAAUAAGUUUCCUGAGAAGGCCAUGGUUAUGCAG